AGCAACACGAUGGGUCGAUACCCCGCGU
Molecule: small RNA, 28 nt
Filed under: Bombyx mori (domestic silkworm)
Lineage: Eukaryota; Metazoa; Arthropoda; Insecta; Lepidoptera; Bombycidae
Description: ovarian small RNA-12008
Source: RNAcentral